This 61-nucleotide transfer RNA is filed under the name Livia junci. RNAcentral describes it as "tRNA-Phe". Lineage: Eukaryota; Metazoa; Arthropoda; Insecta; Hemiptera; Liviidae. The record is from RNAcentral.
UUUCUAAAUAGUUUAAAGAGAAUAAAAUUUUGAAGCAAUUUAGGUAGUAUAACUUUUAGAA